This is a long non-coding RNA of Alnus glutinosa, 150 nucleotides long. RefSeq lists it as uncharacterized. NCBI's taxonomy places the organism in Eukaryota, Viridiplantae, Streptophyta, Magnoliopsida, Fagales, Betulaceae. The record is from RefSeq and is a predicted model, not a curated record. The transcript is spliced from 3 exons.
UGCCUUAGUGCUGGAUUGUGGAGUAUUUUUUUUGUUAUAAUACUUGGUAUGGAAAUGGAUUGGAACUAUUCUGGAAGUGUUGUAUUUGGGGAAGUUUUUAUACUUGGUAUGGAAGUGGAUUGGAACUAUUCUGGAAGUGUUGUAUUUGGG